Molecule: ribosomal RNA, 505 nt
Filed under: uncultured bacterium
Lineage: Bacteria
Description: partial 16S ribosomal RNA
Rfam family: Bacterial small subunit ribosomal RNA
Source: RNAcentral
GACGAACGCUGGCGGCGUGCCUAAUACAUGCAAGUAGAACGCACAGUUUAUACCGUAGCUUGCUACACCAUAGACUGUGAGUUGCGAACGGGUGAGUAACGCGUAGGUAACCUGCCUGGUAGCGGGGGAUAACUAUUGGAAACGAUAGCUAAUACCGCAUAAUAUUGAUUAUUGCAUGAUAAGUGAUUGAAAGUUGCUAUUGCAUCACUACCAGAUGGACCUGCGUUGUAUUAGCUAGUAGGGGAGGUAACGGCUCACCUAGGCGACGAUACAUAGCCGACCGGAGAGGGUGAUCGACCACCCUGGGACUGAGACACGGCCCAGACCCCUACGGGAGGCAGCAGUAGGGAAUCUUAGGCAAUGGACGAAAGUCUGACCGAGCAACGCCGCGUGAGUGAAGAAGGUGUUCGGAUCGUAAAGCUCUGUUGUAAGAGAAGAACGGGUGUGAGAGUGGAAAGUUCACACUGUGACGGUAUCUUACCAGAAAGGGACGGCUAACUACGUG